RNAcentral lists this ribosomal RNA (437 nucleotides) under uncultured Bacillus sp. RNAcentral's name for it is "bacterial SSU rRNA". It matches the Rfam family "Bacterial small subunit ribosomal RNA", at positions 956 to 1394 of the family's 1533-position model. Lineage: Bacteria; Bacillati; Bacillota; Bacilli; Caryophanales; Bacillaceae. The record is from RNAcentral.
UUAACGCGAAGAACCUUACCAGGUCUUGACAUCCUCUGAAAACCCUAGAGAUAGGGCUUCUCCUUCGGGAGCAGAGUGACAGGUGGUGCAUGGUUGUCGUCAGCUCGUGUCGUGAGAUGUUGGGUUAAGUCCCGCAACGAGCGCAACCCUUGAUCUUAGUUGCCAUCAUUAAGUUGGGCACUCUAAGGUGACUGCCGGUGACAAACCGGAGGAAGGUGGGGAUGACGUCAAAUCAUCAUGCCCCUUAUGACCUGGGCUACACACGUGCUACAAUGGACGGUACAAAGAGCUGCAAGACCGCGAGGUGGAGCUAAUCUCAUAAAACCGUUCUCAGUUCGGAUUGUAGGCUGCAACUCGCCUACAUGAAGCUGGAAUCGCUAGUAAUCGCGGAUCAGCAUGCCGCGGUGAAUACGUUCCCGGGCCUUGUACACACCGAA